UACGUAGGGGGCUAGCGUUGUCCGGAAUCACUGGGCGUAAAGAGCGUGUAGGCGGCCCGGUAAGUCCGCUGUAAAAGUCAAAGGCUCAACCUUUGAAUGUCAGUGGAUACUGCCGGGCUAGAGUCCGGAAGAGGCGAGUGGAACUCCUGGUGUAGCGGUGGAAUGCGCAGAUAUCAGGAAGAACACCAACGGCGAAGGCAGCUCGCUGGGACGGUACUGACGCUGAGACGCGAAAGCGUGGGGAGCGAACAGG
Molecule: ribosomal RNA, 253 nt
Filed under: uncultured bacterium
Lineage: Bacteria
Description: partial 16S ribosomal RNA
Rfam family: Bacterial small subunit ribosomal RNA
Source: RNAcentral